RNAcentral lists this small nuclear RNA (63 nucleotides) under Otolemur garnettii (small-eared galago). RNAcentral's name for it is "U7 small nuclear RNA (ENSOGAG00000022725.1)". Lineage: Eukaryota; Metazoa; Chordata; Mammalia; Primates; Galagidae. The record is from RNAcentral.
AGGUGGUAUAGGUCUUUUAGAAUUUAUUAGCAGAUUUUCGAGUCCUCACUGGAAGACACCCCC